Molecule: non-coding RNA, 144 nt
Organism: Urocitellus parryii (Arctic ground squirrel)
Lineage: Eukaryota; Metazoa; Chordata; Mammalia; Rodentia; Sciuridae
Source: RefSeq, a predicted model, not a curated record
UCCCUUCUAAGCACCUCAUGGUGCUGUUUCCAUCUGGCCUUCUAGGAAGGAGCUGUGUUGGAAAUCAGCUAUUUUGUAAUCUCAGUAAACGCAGUGGAUGGGUGGUUUCUUAAUCUUCCCAACAAAUUCCUGUGAUACAGAGAA